ACAGGUGGUAUCCCGAAGCCUAAUGAGCACCGCGAUCGGCGGGUCCCUGGAGUGCCGGGCGGCGGUGUCCGUCGCCUUCGCUGAAGUGGAGCGGCGGCUGCGCUCGGGUGGGGCGGCUCAAGCAGCGUUGCAGACGGAGCUGAGCGCUUGCGGGCCCCUGGGCCGCGCUGAAAACCAGGCGGAGCUGUUGGGGGCGCUGCAGGCACUGGUGGGAGGUGUAGUGCAGUAUGAUGGGCAGACGGGAGCGCCGCUAAGCGUGCGACAGCUCUGCGGACUUCUCCUCGGGGGCGGGGGCAACCGCAGCCACUCCACGCCCUACUGCGGGCUUCGUCGGGCGGUGCAGGUGAGCACUCCCUGGCACAGCUGGGAGGAGUUAGCGGACAAAGAUUCCUGCCCCACUUCCGUUGUGUGAUCUUGGGCAAGCGAGAACCUUCUCUGAAACUUCGUUUUCUCAUCUGUAAAAUGGGGAUAACACUUCACAGGGCAGAUGGGAAGAUGAAAUGAGGCGGGUCAUGUAGAGCAAUCAGCUGGGAGCCUGGCACACAGUGUGCGAAUGUUAGAGACUGCGAUUAU
This 573-nucleotide small RNA is filed under the name Pan troglodytes (chimpanzee). RNAcentral describes it as "retained intron". The record is from RNAcentral. Lineage: Eukaryota; Metazoa; Chordata; Mammalia; Primates; Hominidae.